GGAUUCGACGGGAUUUGCGAAACCCAAGGUGCAUGCCGAGGUGCGGUAGGCCUCGCUAAAAAACCGCAAAAAAAUAGUCGCAAACGACGAAAACUACGCUUUAGCAGCUUAAUAACCUGCUGAGAGCCCUCUCUCCCUAGCCUCCGCUCUUAGGACGGGGAUCAAGAGAGGUCAAACCCAAAAGAGAUCGCGUGGAGACCUAGCUUGGGGUUGAAGCGCUAAAACUAAUCAAGCUAGUUUGUCAGUGGCGUGUCCUUCCGCAGCUGGCAGGCGAAUGUAAAGACGGACUAAGCAUGUAGUACCGACGGUGUAGUAAUUUCGGACGGGGGUUCAAAUCCCCCCAGCUCCACCA
This 352-nucleotide transfer-messenger RNA is filed under the name Yersiniaceae bacterium. RNAcentral describes it as "partial transfer-messenger RNA". It matches the Rfam family "transfer-messenger RNA". Rfam says of the family: Bacterial tmRNA, also known as 10Sa RNA or SsrA, is named for its dual tRNA and mRNA-like properties. Its role is to liberate the mRNA from a stalled ribosome. The record is from RNAcentral. Lineage: Bacteria; Pseudomonadati; Pseudomonadota; Gammaproteobacteria; Enterobacterales; Yersiniaceae.